CUCCAUAAUAUAAGAUUAAUAAUUUUUCUUAUUAAAGUAUUAAUAUUUAUAUUUUCGGCAUUAGAUAGGCGUGCGCCUGAUUAGCUUGUUGGUAAGGUAAUGGCUUACCAAGGCAACGAUCAGUAGGGGACCUGAGAGGGUGAUCCCCCACACUGGUACUGAGACACGGACCAG
This 174-nucleotide ribosomal RNA is filed under the name uncultured bacterium. RNAcentral describes it as "partial 16S ribosomal RNA". It matches the Rfam family "Bacterial small subunit ribosomal RNA", at positions 169 to 334 of the family's 1533-position model. The record is from RNAcentral.